GCCUGGGUAGCUCAGUGGUUGAGCAUCUGCCUUCUACUCAGGGCAUGAUCCCAGAGUCCUGGGAUCAAGUCCCGCAUCAGGCU
RNAcentral lists this transfer RNA (83 nucleotides) under Canis lupus familiaris (dog). It matches the Rfam family "tRNA". Rfam says of the family: Transfer RNA (tRNA) molecules are approximately 80 nucleotides in length. RNAcentral also lists the same sequence under 3 other names. Lineage: Eukaryota; Metazoa; Chordata; Mammalia; Carnivora; Canidae. The record is from Rfam by way of RNAcentral.